RNAcentral lists this ribosomal RNA (1346 nucleotides) under metagenome. Its description in RNAcentral is "SSU rRNA". It matches the Rfam family "Eukaryotic small subunit ribosomal RNA", at positions 483 to 1823 of the family's 1831-position model. The record is from RNAcentral.
AUACCGGGCCUUUUUGGGCUUGGUAAUUGGAAUGAGGGAGAGUUAAACUGACCAUCGAGUAUCCAUUGGAGGGCAAGUCUGGUGCCAGCAGCUGCGGUAAUACCAGCUCCAAUAGCGUAUAUUAAAGUUGUUGCAGUUAAAAAGCUCGUAGUUGGACUUGUGUGCGCUGUCCGCGGGUGGCCUGCGCCCAAAAGGGCGUUUCGGUUCGGCCCCGGUGGCGCCUUGAAAUCUGCAGCUGGGGGGACGUUGGCCUUAACUGGUCGGCGACCGCACGCCGGCUGCUCGGUUACUGUGAGAAAAUUAGAGUGUUCAAGGCAGGCAUUGGGUGCAAUUGAAUACAUUAGCAUGGAAUAAUAAAAUAUGGCUCCUGCCGUAUUUUGUUGGUUUUGACUGGUGGGAGUAAUGAUUGAUAGGGACGGUUGGGGGUGCUAGUAUUGAGCGGCCAGAGGUGAAAUUCAUGGAUUCGCUCAAGACUAACUUAUGCGAAAGCAUUCACCAAGGACGUCCUCUUUAAUCAAGAACGAAAGUUGGGGGAUCGAAGACGAUCAGAUACCGUCGUAGUCUCAACCAUAAACUAUGUCGACUUGGGAUCGGCGGUAGUUUUUUUCAUUAAGACACUGUCGGGACCACGGGAGAAAUCAAAGUGUCUGGACUCUGGGGGAAGUAUGGUCGCAAGGCUGAAACCUGAAGGAAUUGACGGAAGGGCACCACCAGGAGUGGAGCCUGCGGCUUAAUUUGACCCAACACGGGGAAACUUACCAGGUCCAGAGAUGUAGAGGAUUGACAGAUUGAAGCUCUUUCUUGAUCACUUCGGUGGUGGUGCAUGGCCGUUCUUAGUUGGUGGAGUGAUUUGUCUGGUUAAUUCCGUUAACGAACGAGACCUCAGCCUGCUAGUGUAGUCGGCUGGAUUGCCUUUGGCGAUCCGUGAUUUCGACUUCUUAGAGGGACAAUCGACGCGCAGUCGAUGGGAGUUUGAGGCAAUAACAGGUCUGUGAUGCCCUUAGAUGUUCUGGGCCGCACGCGCGCUACACUGCUGGGCUCGGCGAGUUUUACUUGGCCGAGAGGCCCGGUUAAUCUUGUGAAAUCCCAGCGUGCUUGGGCUCGCCUCCUGCAACUGGAGGCGCCAACGAGGAAUUCCUAGUAGACGCAGGUCAUCAACCUGCAUCGAUUACGUCCCUGCCCUUUGUACACACCGCCCGUCGUUCCAUAAGAGUGAGGCAUCCGGUGAAUUCUCGGGAGAGCCUGGGCGUGGCCAGCAAUGGUCUGCUCGGGUUUGAACUUGCAUAAACUUGGUGCCUAUGAUUAGGGAAAAGUCGUAACAAGGUUUCCGUAGGAACCUGCGGAAG